RNAcentral lists this transfer RNA (89 nucleotides) under Polyporus arcularius HHB13444. RNAcentral's name for it is "tRNA-Thr". It matches the Rfam family "tRNA". From Rfam's summary of the family: Transfer RNA (tRNA) molecules are approximately 80 nucleotides in length. The record is from RNAcentral. Lineage: Eukaryota; Fungi; Basidiomycota; Agaricomycetes; Polyporales; Polyporaceae.
UCCCGUUUAGCUCAGUGGUAGAGCGCAUCACUUGUACGAACAUUGGUUCUGAAAUGAUGAGGUCAGUCGUUCAAUCCGGCUAACGGGAA